GUAGGGUGCGAGCGUUAAUCGGAAUUAUUGGGCGUAAAGCGAGUGCAGACGGUUGUUUAAGCCAGAUGUGAAAUCCCCGAGCUUAACUUGGGACGUGCAUUUGGAACUGGAUAACUAGAGUGUGUCAGAGGGAGGUAGAAUUCCACAUGUAGCGGUGGAAUGCGUAGAGAUGUGGAGGAAUACCGAUGGCGAAGGCAGCCUCCUGGGAUAACACUGACGUUGAGGCUCGAAAGCGUGGGGAGCAAACAGGAUUAGAUACCCUGGUAGUCCACGCCCUAAACGAUGACAAUUAGCUGUUGGGCUUUGAAAGGCUUAGUAGCGAAGCUAACGCGUGAAAUUGUCCGCCUGGGGAGUACGGUCGCAAGAUUAAA
Molecule: ribosomal RNA, 371 nt
Filed under: uncultured bacterium
Lineage: Bacteria
Description: bacterial SSU rRNA
Rfam family: Bacterial small subunit ribosomal RNA
Source: RNAcentral